RNAcentral lists this ribosomal RNA (752 nucleotides) under uncultured bacterium. Its description in RNAcentral is "bacterial SSU rRNA". It matches the Rfam family "Bacterial small subunit ribosomal RNA", at positions 754 to 1504 of the family's 1533-position model. The record is from RNAcentral.
CGAAAGCGUGGGGAGCAAACAGGAUUAGAUACCCUGGUAGUCCACGCCGUAAACUAUGGAUGCUAGCCGUUGGUGGGUUUACCCUUCAGUGGCGCAGCUAACGCAUUAAGCAUCCCGCCUGGGGAGUACGGUCGCAAGAUUAAAACUCAAAGGAAUUGACGGGGGCCCGCACAAGCGGUGGAGCAUGUGGUUCAAUUCGAAGCAACGCGCAGAACCUUACCAGCCUUUGACAUGUCCCGUAUGGGUACCAGAGAUGGAACUCUUCAGUUCGGCUGGCGGGAACACAGGUGCUGCAUGGCUGUCGUCAGCUCGUGUCGUGGGAUGUUGGGUUAAGUCCCGCAACGAGCGCAACCCUCGCCCUUAGUUGCCAUCAUUCAGUUGGGCACUCUAAGGGGACUGCCGGUGAUAAGCCGCGAGGGAGGUGGGGAUGACGUCAAGUCCUCAUGGCCCUUACAGGCUGGGCUACACACGUGCUACAAUGGCGGUGACAGUGGGACGCAAUGGAGCAAUCCUGCGCAAAUCUCAAAAAGCCGUCUCAGUUCGGAUUGUGCUCUGCAACUCGAGCACAUGAAGUUGGAAUCGCUAGUAAUCGCAGAUCAGCACGCUGCGGUGAAUACGUUCCCGGGCCUUGUACACACCGCCCGUCACACCAUGGGAGUUGGCUUUACCUGAAGACGGUGCGCUAACCGCAAGGAGGCAGCCGGCCACGGUAGGGUCAGCGACUGGGGUGAAGUCGUAACAAGGUAGCCGUA